Molecule: ribosomal RNA, 253 nt
Filed under: uncultured bacterium
Lineage: Bacteria
Description: partial 16S ribosomal RNA
Rfam family: Bacterial small subunit ribosomal RNA
Source: RNAcentral
UACGUAGGGUGCAAGCGUUAAUCGGAAUUACUGGGCGUAAAGCGUGCGCAGGCGGCGCGUUAAGACAGGUGUGAAAGCCCCGAGCUUAACUUGGGAAUUGCGCUUGUGACUGGCGAGCUGGAGUGUGGCAGAGGGAGGUGGAAUUCCACGUGUAGCAGUGAAAUGCGUAGAGAUGUGGAGGAACACCGAUGGCGAAGGCAGCCUCCUGGGCCAGCACUGACGCUCAUGCACGAAAGCGUGGGGAGCGAACAGG